This 29-nucleotide small RNA is filed under the name Bombyx mori (domestic silkworm). RNAcentral's name for it is "piRNA piR-bmo-2001087". The record is from RNAcentral. Lineage: Eukaryota; Metazoa; Arthropoda; Insecta; Lepidoptera; Bombycidae.
UUACAAGUGCUUCUACUUGCCUCGACAGC